GACGAACGCUGGCGGCGUGCUUAACACAUGCAAGUCGAACGGUAAGGCCCUUCGGGGUACACGAGUGGCGAACGGGUGAGUAACACGUGGGUGAUCUGCCCUGCACUUCGGGAUAAGCCUGGGAAACUGGGUCUAAUACCGGAUAGGACUCCUGGCUUCAUGGUUGGGGGUGUAAAGCUUUUGCGGUGUGGGAUGGGCCCGCGGCCUAUCAGCUUGUUGGUGGGGUAAUGGCCUACCAAGGCGACGACGGGUAGCCGGCCUGAGAGGGUGACCGGCCACACUGGGACUGAGAUACGGCCCAGACUCCUACGGGAGGCAGCAGUGGGGAAUAUUGCACAAUGGGCGCAAGCCUGAUGCAGCGACGCCGCGUGAGGGAUGACGGCCUUCGGGUUGUCGAAAACCCUCUUUCAACUUAAGGGACGAAGCGCAAGUGACGGUACCUAUAGAAGAAGGACCGG
Molecule: ribosomal RNA, 458 nt
Filed under: uncultured bacterium
Lineage: Bacteria
Description: bacterial SSU rRNA
Rfam family: Bacterial small subunit ribosomal RNA
Source: RNAcentral